Molecule: ribosomal RNA, 438 nt
Filed under: uncultured bacterium
Lineage: Bacteria
Description: partial 16S ribosomal RNA
Rfam family: Bacterial small subunit ribosomal RNA
Source: RNAcentral
CUACGGGACGCUGCAGUGAGGAAUAUUGCACAAUGGGGGGAACCCUGAUGCAGCAACGCCGCGUGGAGGAUGACGCAUUUCGGUGUGUAAACUCCUUUUAUAUGUCAAGAAAAUGACGGUAGCAUAUGAAUAAGCACCGGCUAACUCCGUGCCAGCAGCCGCGGUAAUACGGAGGGUGCCAGCGUUACUCGGAAUCACUGGGCGUAAAGGACGCGUAGGCGGGUUGGAAAGUCAGGUGUGAAAUCCUACAGCUUAACUGUAGAACUGCACUUGAAACUUCUAAUCUAGAGUAUGGAGGGGGAGAUGGAAUUAGUGGUGUAGGGGUAAAAUCCGUAGAUAUCACUAGGAAUACCUAAAGCGAAGGCGAUCUCCUGGAACAUUACUGACGCUAAGGCGUGAAAGCGUGGGGAGCAAACAGGAUUAGAUACCCGAGUAGUC